Long non-coding RNA from Myodes glareolus (Bank vole), 1682 nucleotides. RefSeq lists it as uncharacterized. The record is from RefSeq and is a predicted model, not a curated record. Lineage: Eukaryota; Metazoa; Chordata; Mammalia; Rodentia; Cricetidae.
GAGACCAAUCGCUUUGCGCUGGCCGCUGCCAUGGAAACUGGAGGCUGUGGUUGUACUGUCAUAGUAACCGGUGUGUGUAGACAGGGUGACCCUCCCCUAGAGGAACGGGUUCCGGGGAAACCGCCCAGGAUUCCCCGCUUGGAUUCCCUGCCCUCUAAAAGCUGGGAAUCGAGAUAUAGUCGCCAGACAGUGAAGUCCAUUUCCUCCUCCCUCCUCCCCCCGCCCCCAGCAAAAAUUGCGGGGAUACCCCUUCCAAGGCAUUCGCCGAGGGUAUUUCCACUCUUCCGCGGGUGGAAUCCACCUCCAUAGUUUCCUCUUAGAGCCCGGUGGGGAGACAGCCGGGCCUGAGAAGAAAACGCUGGGUCUGAAGGUGGCGGGUGAUGGGUUGGAGCGGGAAAGCCACGGUGAUAUUGCAGCGCCAGGCUGCGAGGACCUGGAAGGAGUUUCCCCCACAACUGCCUGAGGCCGGCGGGCGGCAACCCCCCCCCCCAUACCCCGACGGGGGUCCCUAAGGGAGAACUGCACACUGCAACCGUGAUGCCGCUCUGACAGGCAGUGGGGAAAGUUCGACUUUUCCUAAUAGGUCAACCCCUUCUCUAGUUGCUACUCCGUGUCACCUGCGAGCCCUCCCGGCAGAGGCUGGCUGAGAGCUGGGACCUGAGGCUAACAUGCUGCUCUUAGGCAUUUAGAAUCAAGGGUGAUCCGGAAGGAUUCCAGAAGCACCCAGUGGGGAUCACACCUCAUCAUCGAAGACUCAUCCCCAAAAUCGUCCCUCCUCAAAAAUCUGCAGUGUUUUCGAACUUGCCACUUUUUUAAUUAGUAAAAAAAAUUGUAUAAAAAGAAGUACCUGAAUUUAUCAGCAUGAGGAAGUCUAUGAAAAUAAUUUUCCAUUUUGAGAAAAAAAAUUUUGCGUAUAUGUAUUUUUGUGUCAAGUUUAGGGGUAAAACAAUGACUCCCAAUGACGUUGAGUCUAUCACGGAGGAAGUCAUUUUGAUUAAGUGAAGUAAUUAUUGGCAUUUUACAGAUUUUAUUUUCAAUUCAUAUUGAAAAGUUAUGUAAGCAGCUAUCCCAAAAUGUUUUAGAGUUAUGUAAGGCCAUAAAAUCCCCCAGGAAUAUAGUCUUCACUGUAUAGUUCAAAUCAGUAUUUCAACGGGAUCUUGGUUUUGGUUUGGGUCUCUGAUUUCUUCUGGUUUUUCAUGCUACCUAAACAAAGGCUUUCCAGAUCCUUCCCUGAAUCCAAUGCCUAUUAGAAACUAGGAUGGAACAUGUUUGAGUUCUCAGGAAACGAAAGUACAGCCCACUUGGAAAUAAAUCUCAAGGACAGAUUGUCAUUAACGAAAUAGAAAGUGAACUAUGCCCCCUCAUGCUGUAAGCAAGCGCCAAGUGUGAUGCGCUGUGGCGCUGUGACGUGCGGUGAGUGCAGAAGCACAAUGGACCCAAUCUUCCACCAGCACCAACGCGCCGCCCACUCACGGGAAAGAGAGCCACCUAGUGAGAAACUGUUCACAUCUCCGGAACUGUCCAGGUUACCAUGGCUACCACAGUGAAAAAGGAUGGUACUUGUCUUAGAAUAACUCACCUUCUGGUAGAGGCACUGCAGUACAAGAAGUGAGAAGAAUGUAAAUGCUGGAUGUGGUCAUUGAGAUAUGGACAAAAUGGAAAGAGAUGUGGUCAGAAACAAA